AACGGCCAUACCAUGCUGAAUAUACCGGUUCUCGUUAGAUCACCGAAGUCAAGCAUCAUUGGGCGCGGUCAGUGCUUCGCU
Non-coding RNA from Caerostris darwini, 81 nucleotides. NCBI's taxonomy places the organism in Eukaryota, Metazoa, Arthropoda, Arachnida, Araneae, Araneidae. The record is from the annotation of a GenBank genome assembly.